Molecule: non-coding RNA, 1394 nt
Organism: Peromyscus maniculatus bairdii (prairie deer mouse)
Lineage: Eukaryota; Metazoa; Chordata; Mammalia; Rodentia; Cricetidae
Source: RefSeq, a predicted model, not a curated record
CUUAAGACCGGAGAUCCGAAUGUGCCGGCUGCCUUGGUUCCUGGAUCCUGGAUGCUGCAUGUAGACAGAGCAGAGUUCUUCAGAGAACACCUCUGGACUGCACUUUGCCUCUCCGGGACCCUGUAACCUAUCUGUUUACUUACUUUGGAAAGCUGAAGCAGGAGGAUUGCCUCGACUGGUCAUCCUAGACUGAAUACAGAAUACCAGACCAGCCAGGACUACAGAUCAAAACCCAUGUCAAAACAAACAAGCAAGAAGUCUAGUCAUCUCUUAUUGUUCCACAGGUACUUCAAAAAACAGACAUCCAUGAUGCAUGCUUGCUGAAUGAGCAGCCCUCUGCCUUUAUUCUCCUUUUCCCUGUGGAUGUGUUUCGCAGCUGUAGCUGUUCCGAUGUGAUUGAAGCUGGAGAAAAUUAUUAAAGAACCCCAAGAAGAGGACAAGGAAGAAACUGUAUUUGGAUUUAAUAUACAUAUCCAGAGUUAACAGAAUGAAAACACUCUCUACAAAUAACGUUUCUACUGGGUUCCGGCAUCAUGUGGGUGCCCCCAGACAACCAGGUAGCUCUUUCUUCACAUUUGUUGGCCAUCAUCUCAAACAUUUCUGGAAAUAUUCACAGACACACAACCAGAAGUCCUGCUUCACCAAUAUUCUUUGCAUCUCUCAAUCGAGUCAAAUUGACAACCAUGAAAUACCAAGUUAGCAGAGCGGAGAGAGUGAGGGUUCUGCAUCUGGCUCCUGCUCUCAUGGCCUUCUCAGUACAUUGAGUGCCACAGGAACAGCCCUAGGCAAGUGGGAGCCUGACUUGCACUUGGUGAUUAUGUGCAUCUGGAAAGACAAAGGAGAUCCUUAGAAGCCCAGAGGCAAAGUGUCUUCUUCCGCAUUCUGGGUGCAAACUUGCUUGGAGGAACCCGGCAAGCAAAGACAGAUGCUUCAGUCAACUUCUCAGCUUUUUAAAGAAGUGCUCAGGGAGGUGAAGCAGGCUAUGUCUGCUAAGAAGGAAAAUUUGAAGACAUGGCAAAGACUGAUGAGGCUUGUUAUCAAUGAGAACUGGAAAUAUAGAUUUCCCUCAAAAGGGUGAAAACAAACAGAAGAUCAGGGUCCAGUGCGCCCAAGGGGACUCACCGGCUUCUGUUGUGAGCUUGGUCCACAGAACAUGGAGGAAAUCCCACUGGUGAUGUGAAGAAAGUGGGAGAGAGGUGGGGCCGGUGACAAGAACCUCAUGAAAACAGGGCUGCUGGGCACAUUGAAAAGAGGAAAGGGCUAAUGCUGCUGCAGAGCUAAAGGAAACCCUGAUGCAAUCAAAAAGGCUGAAAAGAGCAAGAAGACAGAAGAUGAAGGGAAUGAGGAAGGGGAAGAAGGUAAAGAAGCUGAUGAUGAUUGAUGACGAGUAAGUU